AGCUUUGAGCAGUGGCGAUAUUGUAAACAUUGAGGUUCCACCGAAGUGCGAUUAAAGCUAGUUGAAAUUAUAAAACCAAUUUUAAUCAUCAGGAGCUUAAAAUCUUAUGAACCUUUCCUUUCAAGGCAUAUGAAA
Uranotaenia lowii is the source of this 135-nucleotide small nuclear RNA. RefSeq annotates it as U4 spliceosomal RNA. The transcript has a single exon. The record is from RefSeq and is a predicted model, not a curated record. NCBI's taxonomy places the organism in Eukaryota, Metazoa, Arthropoda, Insecta, Diptera, Culicidae.